This 1214-nucleotide ribosomal RNA is filed under the name metagenome. RNAcentral describes it as "bacterial SSU rRNA". It matches the Rfam family "Bacterial small subunit ribosomal RNA", at positions 8 to 1221 of the family's 1533-position model. The record is from RNAcentral.
AGAGUUUGAUCCUGGCUCAGGAUGAACGCUAGCGGCAGGCCUAACACAUGCAAGUCGAGGGGCAGCAUAUCGCUUCGGUGAUGAUGGCGACCGGCGCACGGGUGAGUAUCGCGUUUGUAACCUACCCUUAAUUGGGGGAUAGCCCGAAGAAAUUCGGAUUAAUACCCCAUAAUAUUUAAGCACGGCAUCGUGCUUUCAUUAAAGCUCCGGCGGUUAAGGAUGGGCAUGCGUGACAUUAGUUUGUUGGUAAGGUAACGGCUUACCAAGACUACGAUGUCUAGGGGGUCUGAGAGGAUGAUCCCCCACACUGGUACUGAGACACGGACCAGACUCCUACGGGAGGCAGCAGUGAGGAAUAUUGGUCAAUGGACGAAAGUCUGAACCAGCCAUGCCGCGUGCAGGAUGACAGCUCUAUGAGUUGUAAACUGCUUUUAUAUAGGAAGAAAUCCUUCUACGUGUAGAGGGUUGACGGUACUAUAAGAAUAAGCAUCGGCUAACUCCGUGCCAGCAGCCGCGGUAAUACGGAGGAUGCAAGCGUUAUCCGGAUUUAUUGGGUUUAAAGGGUGCGUAGGCGGGGCAAUUAGUCAGUGGUGAAAUACUGCGGCUUAACCGUAGAAUUGCCAUUGAUACUGUUGCCCUUGAGUAUAGUUGAAGUGGGCGGAAUAUGUAAUGUAGCGGUGAAAUGCAUAGAGAUUACAUAGAACACCAAUUGCGAAGGCAGCUCACUAAGCUAUCACUGACGCUGAGGCACGAAAGCGUGGGGAGCGAACAGGAUUAGAUACCCUGGUAGUCCACGCCGUAAACGAUGAUCACUCGUUGUUGGCAAUACAUCGUCAGCGACUGAGCGAAAGCAUUAAGUGAUCCACCUGGGGAGUACGGUCGCAAGAUUGAAACUCAAAGGAAUUGACGGGGGCCCGCACAAGCGGAGGAACAUGUGGUUUAAUUCGAUGAUACGCGAGGAACCUUACCUGGGCUUAAAUGCAAAACGACGUACCGGGAAACUGGUACUCCCUUCGGGGCGGAUUGCAAGGUGCUGCAUGGCUGUCGUCAGCUCGUGCCGUGAGGUGUCGGGUUAAGUCCCAUAACGAGCGCAACCCCUAUCGUUAGUUGCCAGCGGAUAAUGCCGGGGACUCUAACGAAACUGCCAGUGUACACUGUGAGGAAGGUGGGGAUGACGUCAAGUCAGCACGGCCCUUAUGUCCAGGGCUACACAC